UCCAGCGGCGCGGGGUGCAGGCGGCCCAGAAGCGACCCUUCUUUGCUCCGGGUGGGUGGUGCCCUUCGUCUCCCGACCCAGAGGUCCAGGCGGGACAUGGCCACGGCCACUGUGGCAGCAGCAAGACGAGGCUUCUGCCGAGCCCGUCCACUCCUCCUCCGGCGCGGUUACCAGACGGAGAAGGGCGUCUAUGGCUACCGGCCGAGGAAGCCCGAGAGCCGGGAGCCCCGGGGCGGCCUGGCGCGCCCUCCAGUUGAUCAUGGCCUUGCCAGGUUGGUGACAGUAUACUGUGAACAUGGUCAUAAAGCUGCCAAAAUCAACCCCCUCUUCAGUGGACAAGCCUUGCAGGAGAAUGUGCCUGAAAUCCAAGCUCUUGUGCAGACCCUGCAGGGACCCUUUAAUACCACAGGAUUAUUGAACAUGGGGAAGGAGGAGGCCUCUCUUGAGGAAGUAUUGGCCUAUCUCAACCAAAUCUACUGUGGGCAAAUUUCUAUUGAAACCUCUCAACUUCAGAGCCAGGAGGAGAAAGACUGGUUUGCCAAGCGAUUUGAAGAACUGAAAAAAGAGACUUUUAGCACAGAAGAGCGAAAACACCUGUCAAAACUAAUGCUAGAAUCUCAGGAGUUUGACCACUUUUUGGCCACCAAGUUUGCCACAGUGAAGCGGUAUGGGGGCGAAGGAGCCGAAAGCAUGAUGGGCUUUUUCCACGAGUUGCUGAAAAUGUCAGCCUACAGCGGGAUAACGGAUGUGAUUAUUGGCAUGCCCCACAGAGGGAGGCUUAAUUUAUUGACAGGCCUUCUGCAGUUCCCUCCAGAGCUGAUGUUCCGUAAAAUGAGAGGCUUAAGUGAAUUUCCGGAAAAUGUUUCGGCCACUGGAGAUGUCCUGUCUCACUUGACCUCCUCGGUUGACCUGGACUUCGGCGCGCACCAUCCCCUCCACGUGACCAUGCUGCCUAACCCCUCACACCUGGAAGCCGUCAACCCUGUGGCCGUGGGGAAGACUCGAGGAAGGCAGCAGUCUAGACAGGAUGGGGACUACUCUCCAGACAGUUCGGCUCAGCCUGGGGACAAAGUCAUUUGCUUACAGGUUCACGGUGAUGCAUCUUUCUGUGGUCAGGGGAUUGUUCCUGAAACAUUUACGCUGUCUAAUCUCCCACAUUUCAGAAUUGGUGGGAGUGUCCAUCUGAUUGUCAAUAACCAGCUGGGUUACACCACUCCUGCAGAAAGAGGAAGGUCUUCCUUAUACUGCAGUGAUAUUGGGAAGCUUGUGGGCUGCGCCAUCAUCCAUGUCAAUGGAGACAGCCCAGAGGAAGUGGUCCGUGCCACACAGCUGGCUUUUGAAUACCAGCGCCAUUUCCGGAAGGAUGUGAUUAUUGAUUUGUUAUGCUACAGGCAGUGGGGCCACAACGAGCUUGACGAGCCCUUCUUCACCAACCCAGUCAUGUACAAAAUCAUCAGAGCCCGAAAGAGCAUCCCGGACACCUAUGCAGAACACCUGAUUGCCAGUGGACUCAUGACCCAGGAAGAGGUGUCGGAAAUCAAAUCCUCCUACUACUCGAAGUUAAAUAACCAUUUAACCAACAUGGCACACUAUAGCCCCCUGGCCACCAACCUGCAGGCCCACUGGCAGGGCCUGGUCCAGCCGCCAGCCUGCAUUAGCACCUGGGACACGGGUGUGCCCCUCGACCUCCUGCGGUUUAUUGGUGGGAAGUCUGUGGAGGUGCCAGAGGACCUCCAGAUGCACAGUCACCUUCUGAAGAUGUACGUUCAGUCCAGACUGGAGAAAGUGAUGGAUGGAACAAAGUUAGACUGGGCCACGGCAGAAGCUCUUGCCUUGGGCUCAUUACUUGCUCAGGGUUUUGAUGUGCGUCUGAGUGGGCAAGAUGUUGGCCGUGGAACUUUUAGUCAGAGGCACGCAAUGGUUGUUUGCCAGAAGACCGAUGACACCUAUAUCCCUCUGAACCAUAUGGACCCUAAUCAGAAGGGGUUUCUAGAGGUCAGCAACAGCCCGUUGUCAGAAGAAGCUGUCCUGGGGUUUGAAUAUGGAAUGAGCAUUGAAAGCCCCAAGUUACUGCCCCUCUGGGAGGCUCAGUUUGGUGAUUUCUUCAAUGGUGCUCAGAUCAUUUUUGACACGUUCAUCUCUGGAGGGGAGGCCAAGUGGCUCCUACAGAGCGGCAUCGUUAUUCUCCUUCCCCACGGGUACGACGGGGCUGGACCCGACCACUCCUCUUGCCGCAUAGAGCGGUUCCUGCAGAUGUGUGACAGCGUCGAAGAGGGGGUAGAUGGAGACACAGUGAACAUGUUCGUGGUGCACCCGACUACUCCUGCACAGUAUUUCCACUUGCUCAGGAGACAGAUGGUCCGGAACUUCCGAAAACCCCUCAUCGUUGCUUCUCCGAAGAUGUUACUCAGGUUCCCUGCAGCUGUGUCAGCUCUUCAAGAAAUGGCACCAGGAACAACAUUCAAGCCGGUCAUUGGCGAUUCAUCUGUGGAUCCCAAAAAGGUCAAGAGUCUCGUGUUCUGCUGCGGUAAACAUUUCUACGCCCUGCUGAAGCAAAGAGAAUCCUUGGAGGCCAAAAAGCAUGACUUUGCCAUCAUCCGGUUAGAGGAACUCUGUCCUUUCCCACUGGAUUUGUUACAGCAAGAGAUGAGCAAAUACAAACAUGUUAAAGAUUUUAUUUGGAGUCAGGAGGAGCCUCAGAACAUGGGUCCAUGGUGCUUUGUUUCUCCAAGGUUUGAAAAGCAACUGGCCUGCAAGGAAACUCUACUGCUGAAAUCAACUAAUAGUUACUGAAGAACAGGACAGAUUCAAGCAUUGAUCUCCCCUUAUGGUGCCUGGAAUUUAGUUUUUAGUUGUGACAAAUAUCUCCUUCCAGUCUAUUCUAGCUCCGUCUUGUGAGCCGACCCCCUCUGUCAGCCCCUGCUGUAGGAAUUGGCACCCUUCAUCUGCAGCAGCAUGAAGAUGUCCUCACCAAGACCUUUGCUUGAUGGUGUCCUUUGAACCAGCAUUACUUCCUUUUAAGAAAACAACCAUGAGGGGCGCCUGGGUGGCUCAGUCGGUUAAGCGGCUGCCUUCAGCUCAGGUCAUGAUCCCGGGGUCCUGGGAUCGAGCCCCGCAUCGGGCUCCCUGCUCGGUGGAGAGCCUGGUUCUCCCUCCCCCUCUGUCUGCCGCUCUGCCUACUUGUGCUCUCUGUCUAUCUCUGUUAAAUAAAUAAAUAAAAAUCUUUAAAAAAAAAAAAAGAAAAAAGAAAACAACCAUGAAAAGAAAAGCCGGCUCCUCUACUGUCUUCUUCUGUUAGGUGACAUGAAAAGUCUGUGUUCCUCGUUGGGAUUGAUGAGGACAGUUUAAUCGGAAUACGCAGAAUAGCCAAGGGAAUUAUCCAUCAAUCCAUGAAUCUGACGAGUCACCUUUAUCUUUAAACGUACAACAGUGUUGGGACGCCUGGGUGGCUCAGAUGGUUAAGCGUCUGCCUUUGGCUCAGGU
Mirounga angustirostris (Northern elephant seal) is the source of this 3483-nucleotide RNA transcript. It is a transcript of the gene named dehydrogenase E1 and transketolase domain containing 1, with no coding region annotated. Lineage: Eukaryota; Metazoa; Chordata; Mammalia; Carnivora; Phocidae. The transcript has 18 exons. The record is from RefSeq and is a predicted model, not a curated record.